This is a long non-coding RNA of Corythoichthys intestinalis (scribbled pipefish), 839 nucleotides long. RefSeq lists it as uncharacterized. The record is from RefSeq and is a predicted model, not a curated record. Lineage: Eukaryota; Metazoa; Chordata; Actinopteri; Syngnathiformes; Syngnathidae. The transcript has 3 exons.
UUUCACCACCUCAUUGAGUUAAUGGAAUGUUUAUUGUUUCCUUAAUUUUUACUUAAAGGAGAACAUUUAAAAAGAAAGUUAGAAUUGUUAAGCUGUUUAAAAUUGUUAAUUGUUUAAAUAUAUGUACUGUAUACUUUAUGUCAAUUUCAAUUAUUUUAUGUGCAAUGUGAAUUUAGUUGAAAAGAAAAAGAGAUGUAUCUCAUCAUUGAGCUACAGAUUUAAAUUGAAACUCAUAAUUGCUCUGACACUGUCAAUUGACAGGUCAGGUUUUUUCUUUUCCUUAGACCUUGUUUCAAUUGGCCUUUGUGUCAGAUUGGAUAUUGGACCAACUGUUCUGGAUUUUGAUGGCGAGCUAACCACUUGGAUCUAGAUUGAGAUAACUUUCCACGUAUAUAUAUUUUUUUAACCCUUCUUCAUACACAUCAUCACUAUUGACGUGUCACUUCGUCAUUCUUCGUGCGACGCCUUAUCAGAGGGGGCCGAGCUUCAUUUAGUAGUAGCCGAAGACGGCACAUGCUCAUGUCGGAUUUAAGCUUGGAUUUACUCACGUUUGGAUUUAACUGCGAAAGUUGUACAGGACAGCUUGUCUCAGGAAUGAUUUGUCCGAGGAUCCAAGAGAGUCACUCCGUUCCUGAUGAUUCAGCCUUUUGGAAGUCGCAAUGGGGUAACGAGGUUUGGUACUCGCAUGGUACAGUGAGAUCAUCUGGAGUGACUACAGUAAAAGAUUUAUGUGGCUGCAGCCAGACCCCUCUCAAUGGAUUCGACGCAUGUGACAUCAUCACUCACGCGACGAGCGUCAUUUGAUACGCGCCCCAGAACAUUGUGACACCGACUGCCGA